UCAGUGCAAUAGGUAAUACAAUACUCUCAUUUUUUCUGCAGUUCUCAGAGAGUAAGUUAUUUGGGGUGGACAUGUUUUCCAUGCAGCUGAAGAGCAACAGAAUUUUAAAAAAAACAUAACGGAAAAAUUGUCAGCAUGCAGGAUACAGGUCCCUUUUAGAUUGUGCACAUCCCUGCUAAUUCUCUCUCUGACGUUUCUCACUACCUCUGACUUCAUCUCUCACUACUUCCUCCCAUGUGUCUUCCUGCACCUCUUUGUACACCACCUUCCAACAAGAUUGGACUCUCGUGCCAUCCCUGAAAACACUAGGACCAAUGAGAGGAAGCCAGAAAAAGUCACCUGGAUACCUGGAUGCCUGGCGCCUGGACAUGAGAAGCACCUUCUAAUGGCCGGGGAGUUCAAUGCUGGAAAGGGUGACACCAGCUGGGGGCGAGCUCUCCACUGUGAAGUCUCCUCAGCCAUGAAAAGGAGUGACAGCAGUCACUGCAUGGGGUUGCUGUGAGGACUAAGUGAGAAUGUGGAGCUGAAAGCCGCUGACAAACUGUGCAGUGCUCUUCAGAUGUCGGGGCCUUUGUUGCAGCCCUCACCUACUCUCCACCUUGCCUGUGCUUUGGAAACCUGCCCAGGCACCAGCUAUGUCGACUCCCGCUGCCAUUCAGGCCCAUAAGGAUGUCCUAGAAAAUACUUUUGCCACCUCUCUAUGUUAACAGCUCGAAAUCUCCAGACACUUCUGAUUACCAGGAUUUUGAGUACAUGACGGUUUUCUUCCUCAAAAUUCUUAAAUAGCAAAAAGGCUUGAAUGACAGUCAGGACUGGCAGAAGUUGGACUGUCAUUGUGAACCAAGGAAGGAGGCUGCAAAAGGAAAUGGGAAGAAAGUGGAUAUGCUGAUAGCCAGGCUGGUGCUCUUCCAGGUAAGUCUACCUGCCCUGGCCCCAAGCAGCCCUGUCCUGGGCUUGGCUGGUCCUGCAGUUUCCCAGGAUACAGCAGAGCUAGUGGAUGGCCUGGAAAGCAAGUAUUUGGGCAGAUCGUAUCUUCUGCCUGGAGAGAAUGUGAAUACUGUGGAAAGAGCCAGGCCAUGAGUUCUGCAGAGCCCAGCUCUAGUUCCUGUUAUGUCCCCUUACUAACAGGGUACAUUGAGUAAGUCUCCUAACCCAUUAGACCCUCAGUUAUUCAUUGCUGAAUAGAAAUCAUUUUGAUGAGAAUCAAAAUCAAAUAUGAUCAUUUAUGAAAAUUGUAUGCAUAGUGCCUGUGAUCAAUAAAUGGCAAUUGAAACUGA
Molecule: long non-coding RNA, 1277 nt
Organism: Macaca mulatta (Rhesus monkey)
Lineage: Eukaryota; Metazoa; Chordata; Mammalia; Primates; Cercopithecidae
Source: RefSeq, a predicted model, not a curated record